Long non-coding RNA from Orcinus orca (killer whale), 2380 nucleotides. RefSeq lists it as uncharacterized. The record is from RefSeq and is a predicted model, not a curated record. The transcript is spliced from 2 exons. NCBI's taxonomy places the organism in Eukaryota, Metazoa, Chordata, Mammalia, Artiodactyla, Delphinidae.
UCUGUGAAUGAAAAAGGAAACUUCAUUGACAAUCAGCGUGGGUAUUUACUUUGCAGUGACUUGACAUUGUGACUGUAAAAUAACCUUCUGUUGGGGUUUUCAGUGCCUAGCACAGGAACCCUGUCUUAUGUUUGAGGAAUCCUCCUGUGUGACCCCUGAGGGAAGCGAACAGCACCCCACCUUCUACUGCAGAAGCUAAAACAGCCUAAUACUCGCUUUCCUGUCCACUGGCAGCUGGAAGACAGGCAUACAACCUGAACUUGGCCAACUGGAACCUCCCACCUGGAUCACUGAUUAUGAAGCAACAAUUAAGUAUGGAAGGGGCUCAAGACCUGUAGCUGUAACUGUUACCUGAGACAGAAGGAAGUCCUGCAGCUCCUGCUCCUGAUGAGACAGAGUGAUGACUCUUCCAUCUCUGUGUACGACUCGGAUCUGCUCAACUCCAAUAUUCAACUGCAGCUGAAUGGACCUUUAGAGACACAUAUACUAAACAUCAGAAAUGUUGCAAAUUACCUUACACAAUGCCAAAAACCUUAACGUCAAAGAAAAAGAAUAUAACAGACAGUUUUGAUAACCUACACCAACACCCACGGGGGAGAGUUUUCUUAGGUUCAAUGGAAACCAUCAGACUCUCUCUAAACUACUGUAGGCCACGAAGCAGCAGUCUACUCAGAAGGAUACGGUGGGGGAAGCACAGCGUGCCAGCAGGCCAACAGCCCUUGCUCCUCUUCUACGGCAGGCCUUCCAGCUGUCAACACUGCAGCAAUACACCAUUGCUGCAAUGAAAUGAGAUCCACGUUGAGAAUACGUGGGACCUGCCCUGAUGCAACAACCUGGUUCCUCACAGGAGCCACGCACCCUUAACAGCUCCACAGGCAUGGUUUCCAGGGUGCCCACCAGAGACACUGCCCACUGUUAGAAGUCACGCCAUCCUGGGAAAUCCAAAGCUGUCCCCAUCAGGGAUUUAUAAUUUCUCCCAGUCCAGAACCAUUUUACCAAUUUGGGAUCAUUUCUGCCAUAAGCAGUGUUGCCUAGUAACACACAUGGCAUCUUUCCCUAUCAAGUUACUAGGAGACUAGAGCGAGAGUUAACCAAAGGUCGAAUUCUCAUACAGAAAGGAAAAUAGGGUUUGUUAACGUCACUCUCUCCUGAAGUAAUCAGCAAACAAGUCAAAAUACGUACGCUCUAUAAACUAAGCUAAGGUCAAACAAAGAAACUCGUAAAAUAGCCAAUGAAUAUUACGCAGAUCACAAAACUCUUCCAAGCUAAUUUAUAAAUUUUUAGCAUAUGACACGUACAUGAAACACAAAACUCUCCAAAUCAAAUAACCUAGAUGAACAAAUGUGGAAAAAAAUAGCAUUAUUUCUUUCCACAUUUGACAGUACCUCUUUUUUUCUAACUUUGUUUUACAGCAAAUAUUUAAGAAUAAAGCAUUUUGGCAACUACCUAUAUAAAACUGUAAUCUUGAUGAAGUUUACAUAUUUCUUUCCAAGAAAAAACACAAAAAUUCAGAAGGCUUAAAGGAAAAGACUUAUAAAUCUAACGAAAUUUUAAAAUUCUCCUUUUUUAAACAAAAAGAGGAAGAGGGAUUUGUAACCACUUUGAAAAGCAAAUUGGUAACAUUAAUCAAAAUUUUAAAUGUCCUUAUCUUUUGACACAGCAGUUACACUUGGAGGAGUUUAUCCUAUAGAUAUGCUUACAUAUGUACUAAUUAUUUUGCUGGCAUCCAACUAAAAUGGUCAACAAUAGAAAGUUGGGGAGCUUUAAGGAAGAGAAUUACUUUCAAUUUUAAAUAGCAUAAGAUGACCCCACCAGCUAUAGAAGAUGGGGAAAAGGGCAUUCUACGCUUCCUUCUACUUCCUCUCCUGUCCUGAUUCUAUCAAGGCUACAGUAUCACAAACCUUUCUUCACAGAAGUUUAGAACGUUUACACUGGAUUCUAUAACCAUAAUCCCAUAGUUGUUUGGUCUUAGUUCUAGAUGUAAAUAAUUCAAUGCUGAUCAAUUUUUUCUUUUCCUCUCCUUUGUGCUCACUAAGUUUUUAUUAUGGAAAAUUUUAAACACACACAAAAGUAUAGUAUAAUGAAAGCCGAUGACCCCGUCACCUAGCCUUAACAGUUAAAAACGUACACUAACUUUGUUUCAUAUAUUCAACACUUCCUCUCCCACCACACCCCCAAGGCACCCCAAUUAUUUCAUUAUUUCUUUAGGUAGAGGGGGAAGAAAGCCAUGAUCCACUCCACCAACCUUUUCCAAGAAGUUUCAAGACUGAUUUCCUUUGCAUUGUAUACUCUUUUCCCUUCUCUAUUUGAUCUUUAAAUCAUGUUCGUCUACUAUCUUUCAUUUUUAUAAAAAAAGAGAAUUAAAACAUCCCUAUUAAAA